UGCAGGAUUUCUUUGGUUGGGCAUCAAAAAGUGAAAAGGUCAGAUCCUGAAUGCAAGGAUGGCAGUGAAACUGAGGAUGAUGAAGAGGAGGACGACGAUGAUGCUGCAGCUGAUGAGGACGAUGAUGCUGGUGAUGAGGAUUUUUCAGGUGAGGAGGAAAAUGAAGACGAUGAUGAAGAUGACCCUGAGGGUGGUGCAGAAGCCAAUGGUGAUGGUGGGAGUGAUGAUGACGACGAUGAGGACGAGGAUGACGAGGAUGAGGAGGGUGAAGAUGAGGAUGAAGAAGAAGAGGAUGAAGAUGAUGAAGAUGAGGAGACUCCACAGCCCCCUUCCAAGAAAAGAAAGUAAUUGUGAGUUUUUAGAUUUAGGAAUUGGUAGGGUAUUUGUGUUUUAGUAGGGGAAGGUUCUGCUGGUUCCAUUUGGUCAUAGAGUAGGAAAACAUGGCAUUGUGUUAAAUCAACUCCUCCUUUUGUGUUGUUAUGUUACAGUAGUAUAUCUAUAUCAUGUUCUAUCUAUUUAGGGUAUCCAUUAUUAUCUUCAAUCAUUAUCAUAGGAAUUAUAAAUUGCAGUGAAGAUAGUAUAAGUUGUUUGAUCACUCUCUUUGGGAAAGUGUGUUUGGAUAUGCUACUUGUUUGUUUCUGUUGUAUACAGAAGUAAUCUUAGAGAGAAUUACUGCCUCC
Molecule: long non-coding RNA, 680 nt
Filed under: Aquilegia coerulea
Lineage: Eukaryota; Viridiplantae; Streptophyta; Magnoliopsida; Ranunculales; Ranunculaceae
Description: long non-coding RNA (ACOE_LNC001310)
Source: RNAcentral